RNAcentral lists this ribosomal RNA (497 nucleotides) under uncultured bacterium. RNAcentral describes it as "partial 16S ribosomal RNA". It matches the Rfam family "Bacterial small subunit ribosomal RNA", at positions 28 to 507 of the family's 1533-position model. The record is from RNAcentral.
GAUGAACGCUGGCGGCGUGCCUAAUACAUGCAAGUCGAGCGAACGGACGAGAAGCUUGCUUUUCUGAUGUUAGCGGCGGACGGGUGAGUAACACGUGGAUAACCUACCUAUAAGACUGGGAUAACUUCGGGAAACCGGAGCUAAUACCGGAUAAUAUUUUGAACCGCAUGGUUCAAAAGUGAAAGACGGUCUUGCUGUCACUUAUAGAUGGAUCCGCGCUGCAUUAGCUAGUUGGUAAGGUAACGGCUUACCAAGGCAACGAUGCAUAGCCGACCUGAGAGGGUGAUCGGCCACACGGGAACUGAGACACGGUCCAGACUCCUACGGGAGGCAGCAGUAGGGAAUCUUCCGCAAUGGGGGAAAGCCUGACGGAGCAACGCCGCGUGAGUGAUGAAGGUCUUCGGAUCGUAAAACUCUGUUAUUAGGGAAGAACAUAUGUGUAAGUAACUGUGCACAUCUUGACGGUACCUAAUCAGAAAGCCACGGCUAACUACGUG